Molecule: ribosomal RNA, 497 nt
Filed under: uncultured bacterium
Lineage: Bacteria
Description: partial 16S ribosomal RNA
Rfam family: Bacterial small subunit ribosomal RNA
Source: RNAcentral
GAUGAACGCUGGCGGCGUGCCUAAUACAUGCGAGUCGAGCGAACAGACGAGGAGCUUGCUCCUCUGACGUUAGCGGCGGACGGGUGAGUAACACGUGGAUAACCUACCUAUAAGACUGGGAUAACUUCGGGAAACCGGAGCUAAUACCGGAUAAUAUAUUGAACCGCAUGGUUCAAUAGUGAAAGACGGUUUUGCUGUCACUUAUAGAUGGAUCCGCGCUGCAUUAGCUAGUUGGUAAGGUAACGGCUUACCAAGGCAACGAUGCGUAGCCGACCUGAGAGGGUGAUCGGCCACACUGGAACUGAGACACGGUCCAGACUCCUACGGGAGGCAGCAGUAGGGAAUCUUCCGCAAUGGGCGAAAGCCUGACGGAGCAACGCCGCGUGAGUGAUGAAGGUCUUCGGAUCGUAAAACUCUGUUAUUAGGGAAGAACAAAUGUGUAAGUAACUAUGCACGUCUUGACGGUACCUAAUCAGAAAGCCACGGCUAACUACGUG